Molecule: ribosomal RNA, 468 nt
Filed under: uncultured bacterium
Lineage: Bacteria
Description: partial 16S ribosomal RNA
Rfam family: Bacterial small subunit ribosomal RNA
Source: RNAcentral
GACGAACGCUGGCGGCGUGCUUAACACAUGCAAGUCGAACGGAAAGGCCCUGCUUUUGCGGGGUGCUCGAGUGGCGAACGGGUGAGUAACACGUGAGUAACCUGCCCUUGACUUUGGGAUAACUUCAGGAAACUGGGGCUAAUACCGGAUAGGAGCUCCUGCUGCAUGGUGGGGGUUGGAAAGUUUCGGCGGUUGGGGAUGGACUCGCGGCUUAUCAGCUUGUUGGUGGGGUAGUGGCUUACCAAGGCUUUGACGGGUAGCCGGCCUGAGAGGGUGACCGGCCACAUUGGGACUGAGAUACGGCCCAGACUCCUACGGGAGGCAGCAGUGGGGAAUAUUGCACAAUGGGCGGAAGCCUGAUGCAGCUACGCCGCGUGCGGGAUGACGGCCUUCGGGUUGUAAACCGCUUUCGCCUGUGGCGAAGCGUGAGUGACGGUAAUGGGUAAAGAAGCACCGGCUAACUACGUG